CGGGCCGGCCGGGCGCUGCUCGCCAAGAUGGCGGACGAGGAGGGCGAGGGGCUGCCGCGCUCGGCGGCGGGGCCGCAGCGGAACGGCGGCGGCGAGGGGGCGCCGGGGGGGCCGGGGGGGCCGCGGGUGGUGCGCAUCGUCAAGUCCGAGUCCGGCUACGGCUUCAACGUGCGCGGCCAAGUGAGCGAGGGCGGCCAGCUGCGGAGCAUCAACGGCGAGCUGUACGCGCCGCUGCAGCACGUCAGCGCCGUGCUGGGCGGCGGGGCCGCCGACCGCGCCGGGGUCCGCAAGGGCGACCGCAUCCUGGAGGUGAACGGGGUGAACGUUGAAGGAGCGACCCACAAACAAGUGGUGGACCUGAUCCGCGCCGGGGAGAAGGAGCUGAUCCUGACGGUGCUGUCGGUGCCUCCCCACGAGGCCGAUAACCUCGACCCCAGCGAUGACUCUUUGGGACAGUCCUUCUAUGACUACACGGAAAAGCAGGCUGUGCCCAUCUCCAUCCCCACCUACAAGCACGUGGAGCAGAACGGCGAGAAGUUUGUGGUGUACAACGUUUACAUGGCGGGCCGCCAGCUCUGCUCCAAGCGGUACCGUGAGUUUGCCAUCCUGCACCAGAACCUGAAACGGGAAUUCGCCAACUUCACCUUCCCGCGGCUCCCGGGGAAGUGGCCCUUCUCCCUGUCGGAGCAGCAGCUGGAUGCCCGGCGGCGAGGGCUGGAGGAGUACCUGGAGAAAGUGUGCUCGAUACGCGUCAUCGGCGAGAGCGACAUCAUGCAGGAGUUCCUGUCGGAGUCGGACGAGAAUUACAAUGGUGUCUCAGACGUGGAGCUCAGGGUAGCAUUACCAGAUAUAACAACAGUGACGGUCAGAGUCAAGAAGAACAGCACUACAGAUCAGGUGUACCAGGCUGUGGCUGCUAAAGUUGGAAUGGACAGUAUUACCGCAAACUACUUCGCCUUGUUCGAAGUGAUCAAUCACUCCUUUGUGCGCAAGCUGGCGCCCAAUGAAUUCCCCCACAAACUCUACGUGCAGAACUACACCUCGGCAGUGCCAGGAACAUGCCUGACCAUCCGGAAAUGGCUCUUCACUACAGAGGAGGAGGUUCUUCUCAACGACAAUGACUUGGCGGUCACCUACUUCUUCCAUCAGGCUGUCGAUGAUGUCAAGAAAGGCUACAUCAAAGCAGAGGAGAAGUCCUACCAGUUACAGAAGCUGUGUGAGCAGAGAAAGAUGGUCAUGUACUUGAACAUGUUGCGGACGUGCGAGGGUUACAACGAGAUCAUCUUCCCCCACUGCUCCUGUGACUCCCGGCGGAAGGGACACGUCAUCACGGCCAUCAGCAUCAAGCACUUUAAACUCCACGCCUGCACCGAGGAGGGCCAGCUGGAGAACCAGGUCAUAGCGUUCGAAUGGGACGAAAUGCAGCGGUGGGACACGGACGAGGAGGGAAUGGCGUUUUGUUUUGAAUACGCACGCGGAGAGAAGAAGCCCCGAUGGGUUAAAAUCUUCACCCCCUACUUCAACUACAUGCACGAGUGCUUCGAACGGGUUUUCUGCGAGCUCAAGUGGAGGAAGGAGGUGGAGGAGGAAGCAACAGACAAGGAUAACAAGAACUGCAGUAAAGACAAUAUGUGCAGCAAGGUAAUUGGGCUGAAAACAAACAGCAUCUGUGCUCUGUGAGCCAGCCUGGCUGCUGUGCUGCGGACGCAGUGUCUCCUGCUCCUCUGCUCCAGCUCCCGUUAGCGUAGAACAGUGCCCUUUCCUAGUGGCUUCUCCUCGGAGGGAACCCGCAGACUAACCCCCCCACUGCUGCUUUUGAUGGAGUAGAGGUGGCUUUGUGCCUCGAGGCCUCUUUGCUGACGUUAGGAACGUUUGGGGCCCGUCUCCUGGACGCCGCCGGUCUCCGGAUGCCCCGGGAUGUGACGCUCCGGCCGCGAGCGGUGGCUCCCUUCGCCUCCCCGGAGGAGAGGGGACGGGCGCAGCUGCACGGGGACAAACGCUUUGGCUCCGCUCGCCUUGUAAAGGACCAGAGACUUUAUCCUGGAAGCCGCGGGGCUAGUGAACAUCUUUCAGAUGGUCAGGUCACAGCAGAGGGACGCGGCCACUUAGCCCCUUGGCACGGAAGAACGUACCCCCCCCCCCCCCCCCCAAAUUAACACUUACAAAUUCUGUUAUUGUAUUAAAGCCCUUAAACUAAAUAUUAUUAAUAAUAAUACCAUUUGUGAACUUCAUGUUUAUGGAAUUAAGCAACUAGGAGAAGGGCAGGCUCGGCGGUGGCAAGGGGAAGGCGGUGGUGGACAGCGCGAGCUCGCCCCGGGGUGUUCUGUCUCUUCCUUUCCACCUGGGUCUGAUUCCAGAAGACGGACUGGGCUUCUGUUUUUUACAACUGGAAACUGAAACAUCGUCCAUUUGCACUGUUCAGGCAUAUAUAUGUAUGUAUGUAAAAAAAAAAAAAGGAAAAAAAAAAAACUGAAAAAGCUAUAUAUAUAAAGGCCGUGCACGUAUAUACAUAUAUAUAUUUCUUUUAAAAUUUCAUACCAGUGGCAGUACCUUUUUUAAGCUUGCGUUUUUACACGCAUCUCCCCUCCCGAUUCAUUGUGUUGUUUUUUUUAAAAACUAACUUUAGCGAAAAAAAAAAAAAAACAGAAAAAGGAAAAAAAAACAAAUCAAAACACAGCAACGUUACAGGGAAAUACCUCUCCUGGCACAAGGACCUCGACACGUUUACAAGCUUCUGACUUCGCUUUUCCCCCACUGGAGGUUCCCCCGUGGAGGUCGCUCGGUGCCGGGUGCCUCCGGAGGCCGCGCGCCAUCGCCCCUGGGCCCCCCCCCGGAGCAGGAGCCCCCCGGGGCGAGCGUGGCCGCCCCGGGCCCCGUGUGCUCGGGGACCCGUCCUGGUCGCGUGGUCCCCGCGGCGGGGCAGAGGCACGAGAGCAGAAGCGAGGCAGCGAGCGGGGAAUUAGCGCUCGCUGUGCUAAUGGGAUUUCUCGGCCGCUGUCCUCGGGCGCCCCGCGGGCCAGUCCCGGGCACUCAAAUUGUGCGAUCGGGGUUUGUCACCAAUUUUAGUCCUUAAUUUCAGGGGGAGGAGGGGCCUGGAGCUCCCAACCCGUUGGCCUGGGCUCUGCGACGCACACAGCGCUUGUUGCGUUUCAGGCCGCUGCGUUUGGGGUUUUUGUUGUUGUUGUUGUUUUUUUUUUUCUUUUUUUUCUUUUUUCCUUAAGGAAACCGAAAGCGACGCUCUGUGCCCGGCUAAGUAGGUCAGGAAGCGCCGCGGCCGCCCGCCGGCUUUAAUCGCGCGGAGCCGGGCCCCCCCCCCCAGGGCUCAGCAAUAAUCGGGGGGCUCGGCCCCCCCCACACCCAGCGCGCCCCCGGCUGGCCCCCCCCCCCAGCCCCCCCACGCUGCCAUGCACACAUCCGCUUUAAUUUAUUCGAGAGAACUCUAACGGUGUUUUCACUACGGUAUCUUGUAUUUUUUAUCCGUGAUUCAGAAAUGUGAAGGAAAAAAAAAAAAAGACCAAAAAAAAAAAAAGCAAAAAGGAGGAAUUAAAAAAAAAAAAAAAAAAAAAAAGCCUCUCCCCUCCCCGUCUGCUCCCGGUGUCGUUCCUCGUUCUCUAGCGCUAACCACUCCGGUUGUUUGGUAAAGUCACUUAGUGUAAUUAAUUGUAACAUAUUCUUUUAAAUAAAUUGAUUUAUUGAUGAAGCUGCUGGGAA
This is an RNA transcript of Cygnus olor (mute swan), 3711 nucleotides long. It is a transcript of the gene named sorting nexin 27, with no coding region annotated. The record is from RefSeq and is a predicted model, not a curated record. The transcript has 13 exons. NCBI's taxonomy places the organism in Eukaryota, Metazoa, Chordata, Aves, Anseriformes, Anatidae.